Molecule: unclassified non-coding RNA, 295 nt
Filed under: fungal sp.
Lineage: Eukaryota; Fungi
Description: partial internal transcribed spacer region
Rfam family: Eukaryotic small subunit ribosomal RNA (bases 1-46)
Source: RNAcentral
AAGUCGUAACAAGGUUUCCGUAGGUGAACCUGCGGAAGGAUCAUUAAAAGAUAACCUUAUGGGUUUUCUAAUCCAUAUCUCACCUUCUGUGCAAUGUCUACUGUAAGUUCCCUUUCGGUGUAGAAGUUUUGGUAUCAUGCGAGAAAGUCUUCUUGUGAGAUGUGCAACUACUACAUAAUGUUUGCCGGAAGGGAACACUUAUUCAAACCUUUUAUAUUACUGUGUUGUCUUAAGAUACUGCUGAAAAGCAAAAAUCUAAAAAUACAACUUUCAACAACGGAUCUCUUGGCUCCCA